Molecule: ribosomal RNA, 443 nt
Filed under: bacterium enrichment culture clone ALO1_GLFRUDD03FMT83
Lineage: Bacteria
Description: bacterial SSU rRNA
Rfam family: Bacterial small subunit ribosomal RNA
Source: RNAcentral
GAGUUUGAUCCUGGCUCAGAUUGAACGCUGGCGGCAUGCCUUACACAUGCAAGUCGAACGGCAGCACGGGAGCUUGCUCCUGGUGGCGAGUGGCGAACGGGUGAGUAAUGCAUCGGAACGUAUCCUGGAGUGGGGGAUAACGUAGCGAAAGUUACGCUAAUACCGCAUAUUCUGUGAGCAGGAAAGCGGGGGACCUUCGGGCCUCGCGCUCUUGGAGCGGCCGAUGUCGGAUUAGCUAGUUGGUGAGGUAAAGGCUCACCAAGGCGACGAUCCGUAGCAGGUCUGAGAGGAUGAUCUGCCACACUGGAACUGAGACACGGUCCAGACUCCUACGGGAGGCAGCAGUGGGGAAUUUUGGACAAUGGGGGCAACCCUGAUCCAGCCAUGCCGCGUGAGUGAAGAAGGCCUCGGUUGUAAGUACGUCUUCGUCGUAGGGAGAAAGU